GGGCGCUCGAGGGAGACCAGGAGGCGGCCUCGGACCACCAGACCGUCCGGGAAGACGUCCGAGGUCUCGUUGAGGGGCUCGGCGACCCCGCGGACGUCAUCGUACAAAAGACGGCGGUGGAGCUGAACAGUUAGGAGACCCGUGCUGGUCACUGAGAGAGAGAGAGAGAGAGAGAGAGAGACGUUUACGUCGCUUGGACGUCUCACACGGACCCAACAUGUGUCGCCACUCACUCAAUGGGAAUGGGGCCCACAGUCCACUCCAGCUCCAGGACCCGGCUGUCGGCGUGGAGACGAACCACCUGCGUGGCCCACGGAGCGAACCUCUGCCUCACCUCCUGCAUGACUGACGUCUGAGGGAGCUUGUGUGGUGUUUAUGAGGAAGAGGAGAACUUACACCUGAGGAAAGCCGCCCUCAUCCUCUGAUCGGCGGGCUGCAGAGACAACAAGGACAGCGGGAACGAUGCAGACAACACUGAGGACACACAAGGAAGUGGUGGUCACCUUGUCUGUGACACAGCGCCCUCCUGGCGCCACUGAAGGCCUCUGUGGGCGGGGCCAGGGUCCUGGAAGGGCGGCUGGCAGGCACAGGAAGGCACAGCAGCGGCGCCGCCUGGGAGGGUUGAGCAGACAGAGGAGGAGGAGGAGGACAAAGUCUCUUUAGCACGCCUCACUGCGUCCUUUGGAAAAUUGCAUUCAGCCAGGAAGUGUCCGUUGUCCUCCGUUUGGGUGAGCCGGCUGAUCUCCUCGUCCCGCCUCCUCAGCGCUUCCAGAUCCUUCCGCAGCAUCUCCAUGUCCAGCUCGGCCCGCCCCACCGCCGCUCGCUUCCGGGCUUCCAGCCUGGCGCGGACCUACACAAGACCGCCAGUCACCAUUUGCCAGGCGGGAUACAUCGUGGCAAUCUACCAUGUAAGGCGACGUACACUAGAUUCAAUGGCCCCAUUCGUGGCGAUUUACCUGACACAUGAAACGUGACAAAACGUUGGCCGCCAGAUGGCAGUAAAGUGUCGAAUGUCCUAAAA
This is a long non-coding RNA of Nerophis lumbriciformis (worm pipefish), 1021 nucleotides long. RefSeq lists it as uncharacterized. The record is from RefSeq and is a predicted model, not a curated record. Lineage: Eukaryota; Metazoa; Chordata; Actinopteri; Syngnathiformes; Syngnathidae.